This 433-nucleotide ribosomal RNA is filed under the name uncultured bacterium. RNAcentral's name for it is "partial 16S ribosomal RNA". It matches the Rfam family "Bacterial small subunit ribosomal RNA", at positions 29 to 507 of the family's 1533-position model. The record is from RNAcentral.
AACGAACGCUGGCGGCAGGCCUAACACAUGCAAGUCGAGCGCGCCCUUCGGGGUGAGCGGCGGACGGGUGCGUAACGCGUGGGAACGUGCCCUUCUCUGCGGAAUAGCCUCGGGAAACUGAGAGUAAUACCGCAUACGCCCUUUGGGGGAAAGAUUUAUCGGAGAAGGAUCGGCCCGCGUUGGAUUAGGUAGUUGGUGGGGUAAUGGCCCACCAAGCCGACGAUCCAUAGCUGGUUUGAGAGGAUGAUCAGCCACACUGGGACUGAGACACGGCCCAGCCUCCUACGGGAGGCAGCAGUGGGGAAUCUUAGACAAUGGGGGCAACCCUGAUCUAGCCAUGCCGCGUGAGUGAUGAAGGCCUUAGGGUUGUAAAGCUCUUUCAGCUGGGAAGAUAAUGACGGUACCAGCAGAAGAAGCCCCGGCUAACUCCGUG